UGGUCGAGUCGGCCUGCGCGGAAGAUGUAACGGGGCUAAACCAUGCACCGAAGCUGCGGCAGCGAACGUAUCACCCAAGACAACUUUGCGGAGUUGACGAUUGACGGAGCGAAGCGACGUCAAAGCGUUCAUUAAAGUCGAGUUGGCUUAGGGAUACGUUCGUUGGGUAGGGGAGCGUUCUGUAAGCCAGUGAAGGUGUGUCGUGAGGCAUGCUGGAGGUAUCAGAAGUGCGAAUGCUGACAUAAGUAACGAUAAAGCGGGUGAAAAGCCCGCUCGCCGGAAGACCAAGGGUUCCUGUCCAACGUUAAUCGGGGCAGGGUGAGUCGACCCCUAAGGCGAGGCCGAAAGGCGUAGUCGAUGGGAAACGGGUUAAUAUUCCCGUACUUGGUGUUACUGCGAAGGGGGGACGGAGAAGGCUAUGUUGGCCGGGCGACGGUUGUCCCGGUUUAAGCGUGUAGGUGUGUGUUCCAGGUAAAUCCGGUUCACUUUAACACUGAGGCGUGAUGA
This 507-nucleotide ribosomal RNA is filed under the name Salmonella enterica subsp. enterica serovar Paratyphi B var. L(+) tartrate +. RNAcentral describes it as "partial 23S ribosomal RNA". It matches the Rfam family "Bacterial large subunit ribosomal RNA", at positions 1146 to 1569 of the family's 2925-position model. The record is from RNAcentral. Lineage: Bacteria; Pseudomonadati; Pseudomonadota; Gammaproteobacteria; Enterobacterales; Enterobacteriaceae.